This 73-nucleotide transfer RNA is filed under the name Nanobdellota archaeon. Its description in RNAcentral is "tRNA-Thr". It matches the Rfam family "tRNA". From Rfam's summary of the family: Transfer RNA (tRNA) molecules are approximately 80 nucleotides in length. Lineage: Archaea; Nanobdellati; Nanobdellota. The record is from RNAcentral. RNAcentral also lists the same sequence under 1 other name.
GCCUCUAUAGCUCAGUGGUUAGAGCAUCGGUUUUGUAAACCGGGGGUCGGGGGUUCAAAUCCCUCUAGAGGCU